This is a long non-coding RNA of Manacus vitellinus (golden-collared manakin), 421 nucleotides long. RefSeq lists it as uncharacterized. The transcript has 4 exons. NCBI's taxonomy places the organism in Eukaryota, Metazoa, Chordata, Aves, Passeriformes, Pipridae. The record is from RefSeq and is a predicted model, not a curated record.
UUGUUGAGGCACCUCAGGAAACCGCGGGAAGCGCGCUUGGUGUUUUCGAACAGCUCCACGAGCAGUUGUGCUUCUGCAAUCAAGGCAGCAGACAGAACGGAGACAGGAAAAGGUGAUGCCUGAGCUGAAGUGAACAACUCAGGGCAGUGGAAACACAGGACGUGAGACAUCAGAGGCAGAUGAUAGGAAAUGGUCUCGGAGCAGCAACCUGGGGAGAACACAGAUAUGCCCAAACGUGCCAGAAGUCUGUCUGAGACAAAAGCUGAGCUCCACGUGUCCUUCCAUUAAGAUGUAUUGAAAUAUUGCAGUCUGUGAUGCAUAUUUUGAGUAUGGCACUGAAGCCUCCAGUUCAGCUAACAAGAGAGAAGUACAUAGACAUGCAACACAAACAAAUCCUAAAUCCUAGCUCAGCAUCUCUGGA